RNAcentral lists this ribosomal RNA (399 nucleotides) under uncultured bacterium. RNAcentral describes it as "bacterial SSU rRNA". It matches the Rfam family "Bacterial small subunit ribosomal RNA", at positions 28 to 429 of the family's 1533-position model. The record is from RNAcentral.
GACGAACGCUGGCGGCGUGCUUAACACAUGCAAGUCGAGCGGUAAGGCCCUUUCGGGGGUACGACGAGCGGCGAACGGGUGAGUAACACGUGGGUGACCUGCCCUCAGCUCUGGGAUAAGCCUGGGAAACUGGGUCUAAUACUGGAUAUGACUCCACGGUGCAUGUCGUGGGGUGGAAAGCCUUGUGCGGCUGAGGAUGGGCCCGCGGCCUAUCAGCUUGUUGGUGGGGUGANGGCCUACCAAGGCGACGACGGGUAGCCGGCCUGAGAGGGCGACCGGCCACACUGGGACUGAGACACGGCCCAGACUCCUACGGGAGGCAGCAGUGGGGAAUCUUGCGCAAUGGGCGAAAGCCUGACGCAGCGACGCCGCGUGAGGGAUGACGGCCUCGGUUGUAAC